UGAUAGGUCCAUCUUUUUUCUUUACGAUGCAAAAACCGUAUUUCAAAAGCUGAACCCUCAGCGGUUUCCUAGGGCUGGCGUCGGUCUGCGGAGAACUUCUGAGGCCCGGCAGCCAAUCAUCCUUUUCCUGGCGCUCGAGUCAUGGUCUCCUCCCACCAUAUGCGGUUCCCACAGCCAAGCUUUGGGCCAUCUGUCUAAGGACAAUUCAAGUGCCAGGAGGAUGCAUCGUCUUAAAAGCAGGCAUCAGGAUAGUGCUUCCCAAACAUUAAUGCACAGGGGCACCUAGGUUGCUCAGUUGGUUAAGCGUCUGACUCGAUGUCCGCUUGGGUCAUGAUCUCAGGAUUGUGGGACCUAGCCCUGCGUGGAGCUCUACACUCUGCACUUAGUGGUGAGUCUGCUUCUCUCCCUCUCCCCUCUGCCCCUCUGCACAUGUUCUCUCUCUCAAAUAAAUAAACAAAUCUCAAAAAAAAAAAAAAAAAAAGUGCUGGGACACGUGGGUGGUUCAGCGAUUGAGCAUCUGCCUUCAGCUCAGGACAUGAUCCUGGAGUUCAGGGAUCAAGUCCUGCAUCAGGCUCCUACAUGGAGCCUGCCUGCUUCUCCCUCUGCCUCUCUCUCUAUGUCUAUCAUGAAUAAAUAAAUACAUCUUUAAAAAAAAAAGUGUUGAUGUACAAAGGAAUCACUGGGAAAUCUUGUUAAAAUACAGAUUCUGGGGAUCCCUGGGUGGCGCAGCGGUUUGGCACCUGCCUUUGGCCCAGGGCGCGAUCCUGGAGAACCGGGAUCGAAUCCCACGUCGGGCUCCCGGUGCAUGGAGCCUGCUUCUCCCUCUGCCUAUGUCUCUGCCUCUCUCCCUCUCUGUGUGUGAUUAUCAUAAAUAAAUAAAAAUUUAAAAAAAAUACAGAUUCUGAUUCAGUAGGGCUAGAAAGGGGCCUAAGAAUUUGCAUUUCUAACUGCACCCAGGUGGUGCUGAUGCUGUUGAUCAUGGGCUACACUAUGAGUAGCAGGUUUUCAGAGCCUGUUAACCCUGGAGUGAUCCAAGUAAUUACUGUAUCAAAGCUAUGAAAUUGAGUAUGUGCAAUAUUUUUAAAGUUGCCAACAAAAUAACCAAUUAAUACAAUUUUGCAGUGAGUAUAAUACAGCUUAGAGAAUCCUGAGGCCUCGCUUCCUGUGUGUGGCAGGCUUACAUGCUUCUCCACAUACCCACCCAACCAGGUGGUACUUUAGCUAACUUGGGGGGAAAUCCAGUUAACCAAAAUACCUCAUUUCCUAAUCACGUCUGUUAAAUUCUUUCAAACCUGCCAUCCUUCUGGAUGAAUUCAGCAUUCAUACAGCUGGCUCAUGGUACCCUAAGCUCCAAUUAUGAUUACCUCCCUGCAUUUCAGCUACCAUGACAGUAUAGAAGAUUAGAGACACAAUAACCCUCUAAUAUAAAAUAAUAAUUCUCAAUGAAAUCAAAAAAAUCUAUUGAAGUACGAAUCUAAAAUAUUAAAAAAUUAAGGAAUAUUCAGAGACGAAAAACCAAGUGAAAGCAGGAAUCUGGAGGAGUAAACAAGCACAAAAGGAAGAUUUUAUGGGGCUUGAGGGUAUCUUCUGAACUCUAGUGAGCUCAGACCAGAGUUCUAAUGGCUAUGAAGGGUGUAGGGACAGGAGACAAACCCAAGACUCCAACUGAGGUAAGGAGUCUAAUAGAUCCUUAACCCAAAUAUACAUACACAAGUUAAGAGCACAAAGGUUUACACUUUUAUCAAAAAAAAAAAAAAUCUUCCCUAUACCAGAGGACAGGAAGAAAAUUAUAUGUCUUGAUCUUGAAUCUAAACAGAAGGGGGGAUAAAGCUACUCUAAUAAUUUGUGAAACACAAGCAUAGAUUCACGGCCCAAUUCAAAUGAUCUAUUGUUAGAAGACAAUUCUUCAUGAGUUGUUCAAGUUUCUGCACAUCUUGUGAGCAGAGGCACUGACUGUCUUUGUUCCAGACUAUCUUUUCAAUGGUUUAUGUAGUGAGAAGUCUUAGAAGAUACUGAUGGUGUCUCCCUCUAGACCAGAGGCAGAUUUGCCUACAGCCUUGGAAGAUAGCCAUAAAGUCUACCUCUGGACAAAAAGGUAGGCAUCCUUACUGCCCAUUAUAAAAUAUGCAUGUUCUGUAAGUUCAGGGUUCUUAUCCUGUAAUGCAACCCACUGCAUACAUGUCACCUGGUCUGCUGUGUAGCCCUGUGGGAAUUGGGCCUUAGGGAACCAACACAAAUGCUGACACUCUGGCUACUGCUAUUGCUUUGAGUAAUAACCUGUACUUGAUCUCUGACCCACGAGUAGUGUGUCUUCUGCCAAAAUCCAUGCAUUUAAAAUAAAUCCAUGCCAUUAUGGCAGGCUAACAGUAGCAGGGUAAAAUCUCAAAUCUUUCACACUUCUUAAUAUGUAGGUGGUACCACCAAACACCUUAUGCCUAGGGGUGCCUAGCUGGCUGUCAGUAGAGCAUAUGACUUUUGAUCUUAGGAUCAUGAGUUCAAGCGCCACAUUGGCUGUAGAGCUCACUUUAAAAAAACAAAAACAAAAAAAAAACGCUUUUUUGUGAAAAUAAAAAAAGAAGGGAUCCCUGGGUGGCUCAGCGGUUUAGUGCCUGCCUUUGACCCAGGGUGCGAUCCUGGAGUCCCGGGAUCGAGUCCUGCGUUGGGCUCCCUGCAUGGAGCCUGCUUCUCCCUCUGCCUGUGUCUCUGCUUCUCUCUCUCUAUGUCUAUCAUAAAUAAAUAAAUAAAUAUUUUUAAAAAAGAGAAAAAGAACCUUAUGCUGAAAAUAUAUAUAAUUUAAGUUGGUCACACCACUAGACAGCUAAUACAGGUCUCAACUUAUGAUGGAUAAUGUCUCAAUAUACCCACUGCAAAUUGAAAAUAUUGUAAGUUGAAACUGCAUUUCAUACACCUACCUGUGACGCCUGGGUGGCUCAGCAGUUGAGCCUCUGCCUUCGGCUCAAGGCAUGAUCCUGAGGUCCCAGGAUCAAGUCCCAUGGAGCCUGCUUCUCCCUCUGCCUGUGUCUCUGCCUCUGUGUGUGUGUGUGUGUGUGUGUGUGUCUCAUGAAUAAAUAAAUAAAAUCUUUAAAAAAAAAAUACACCUACCUACCAAACAUCAUACUUUAGCCUAACCUAAUCUAAACAUGCUCAGAACCCUUACAUUAGCCAAUACUUGGGCAAAAUCAUCUAACAAAAAGCCUAUUUUAUAAUGAAGGUUGAAUAUCUCAUGUAAUUUUUUGAAUACUAA
This 3244-nucleotide long non-coding RNA is filed under the name Canis lupus familiaris (dog). RNAcentral describes it as "lncRNA (ENSCAFG00845016096.1)". Lineage: Eukaryota; Metazoa; Chordata; Mammalia; Carnivora; Canidae. The record is from RNAcentral.